UGGUAUGUGGUUUCUAAACGCGUGAC
This 26-nucleotide non-coding RNA is filed under the name Rattus norvegicus (Norway rat). The record is from RNAcentral. Lineage: Eukaryota; Metazoa; Chordata; Mammalia; Rodentia; Muridae.